GCCUUACUAGCUCAGUUGGUAGAGCAUGAGACUCUUACUCUCAGGGUCGUGAGUUUGAGCCCCAUGUUGGGUG
This 73-nucleotide transfer RNA is filed under the name Callipepla squamata (scaled quail). It matches the Rfam family "tRNA". Rfam says of the family: Transfer RNA (tRNA) molecules are approximately 80 nucleotides in length. Their secondary structure includes four short double-helical elements and three loops (D, anti-codon, and T loops). The record is from Rfam by way of RNAcentral. Lineage: Eukaryota; Metazoa; Chordata; Aves; Galliformes; Odontophoridae.